UGCGUAGGCGGUCCUUUAAGUGGGAUGUGAAAUCCCUGGGCUUAACCCAGGAACUGCAUUCCAAACUGGAGGACUAGAGUGCAGGAGAGGAAAGCGGUAUUCCCAGUGUAGCGGUGAAAUGCGUAGAGAUUGGGAGGAACACCAGUAGCGAAGGCGGCUUUCUGGAAUGUAACUGACGCUGAGGCACGAAAGCGUGGGGAGCAAACA
RNAcentral lists this ribosomal RNA (207 nucleotides) under uncultured Caloramator sp. RNAcentral's name for it is "partial 16S ribosomal RNA". It matches the Rfam family "Bacterial small subunit ribosomal RNA", at positions 568 to 774 of the family's 1533-position model. Lineage: Bacteria; Bacillati; Bacillota; Clostridia; Eubacteriales; Clostridiaceae. The record is from RNAcentral.